RNAcentral lists this unclassified non-coding RNA (336 nucleotides) under soil metagenome. RNAcentral's name for it is "partial contains 5.8S ribosomal RNA, internal transcribed spacer 2, and large subunit ribosomal RNA". The stretch from base 1 to 120 matches the Rfam family "5.8S ribosomal RNA", at positions 35 to 154 of the family's 154-position model. The record is from RNAcentral.
GAUGAAGAACGUAGCGAAAUGCGAUAAGUAAUGUGAAUUGCAGAAUUCAGUGAAUCAUCGAAUCUUUGAACGCACAUUGCGCCCGCCAGUAUUCUGGCGGGCAUGCCUGUUCGAGCGUCAUUUCAACCAUCAAGCCCCCGGCUUGUGUUGGGGACCUUCGGCUGCCGCAGGCCCUGAAAAGCAGUGGCGGGCUCGCUGUCACACCGAGCGUAGUAGCAUACAUCUCGCUCUGGGCGUGCUGCGGGUUCCGGCCGUUAAACCACCUUCAUAACCCAAGGUUGACCUCGGAUCAGGUAGGAAGACCCGCUGAACUUAAGCAUAUCAAUAAGCGGAGGA